RNAcentral lists this long non-coding RNA (853 nucleotides) under Rosa chinensis. RNAcentral's name for it is "sRNA RchiOBHm_Chr2g0103901". Lineage: Eukaryota; Viridiplantae; Streptophyta; Magnoliopsida; Rosales; Rosaceae. The record is from RNAcentral.
GCACUGUACCUAUUGUGGUGAUCCAGGACAUUGGGUCCAAACAUGUUUUCACCUAAUUGGUUUUCCUCCAGGUCAUCCCAAAGCAAAGCACGGAUCGGGAAAUUUCCCCAAGAAGCACACUGCCACACCAGUCGCGCCUUCUAUCGCGCCCUCUCCUUCUGCUAACCAGGUUCAUGCGACAGGCAUCGUAGAAGAGGAGAAUGGAUCAGCAAUUACUUUAUCUGAGGCCCAAUUCAAACAGUUUUUAGCUGCUCUCCAACAAGCCCAAAAGCCCAAUCCAAAUACUGACUCGAGUUCUAAGGCAAAUGCAGUAACGCAGCCAGGUUUGUCUAGAGUCGCUUCCCGCAAUUGGAUAAUUGAUAGCGGGGCGACAGAUCAUAUUACUUCGUGCUCUAAAUUAUUGAAUAAAAAUAAAAAUUGUGCAUUACCACCUGUUUUGCUACCUAGUGGACAAAAAGUGCAUAUUGAAGCCACAGGUUCUUUGCCUCUGAGUACCGUAUAUUAUCUACAUAAUGUGCUGUUUGUGCCGAAGUUCAAAGUUGAUUUAAUGUCGGUUAGCCGCUUGACAAGAGGAUCUGGCUACGAAGAGGACGAUUGGUUUGGGUAAAGAAUGUGAUGGGCUAUACUAUUUGGUGGCACUAGCGACGGAACGAACCAGGCCUUCCAUUACCACUCCUUCCAGAUCAUCUUGCAACCUUGUCCUUUCCCCCACCAAUCUUUGGCAUAAUCGCUUGGGUCAUGUCUCCUCUCCAUGUUUAAGUCACAUAGCAAAAAAUUUCUUGCAUUUUUCCAUUCAGCCAAAUAAUAAUUGCCCUGUGUGUCCUUUGGCUAAGCAGAGUCGAUUACCAUUCAG